AAGUCGUAACAAGGUUUCCGUAGGUGAACCUGCGGAAGGAUCAUUAUAAAAUUUUCAUAUAUUAAUUUAUUUAAUAUAUAAAAUUAUACAAAAAUGUAUUCAAAACCCACACUCUUUAUUAACCAUAAAAAAACAUUAUAUCUUUGUAUAUAAUAUAAAAAACAACUUUCAACAACGGAUCUCUUGGCUCUC
Molecule: unclassified non-coding RNA, 192 nt
Rfam family: Eukaryotic small subunit ribosomal RNA (bases 1-46)